AGUCGAGCGGAACGAGUUAACUGAACCUUCGGGGAACGUUAACGGCGUCGAGCGGCGGACGGGUGAGUAAUGCCUAGGAAAUUGCCCUGAUGUGGGGGAUAACCAUUGGAAACGAUGGCUAAUACCGCAUGAUGCCUACGGGCCAAAGAGGGGGACCUUCGGGCCUCUCGCGUCAGGAUAUGCCUAGGUGGGAUUAGCUAGUUGGUGAGGUAAGGGCUCACCAAGGCGACGAUCCCUAGCUGGUCUGAGAGGAUGAUCAGCCACACUGGAACUGAGACACGGUCCAGACUCCUACGGGAGGCAGCAGUGGGGAAUAUUGCACAAUGGGCGCAAGCCUGAUGCAGCCAUGCCGCGUGUGUGAAGAAGGCCUUCGGGUUGUAAAGCACUUUCAGUCGUGAGGAAGGUAGUGUAGUUAAUAGCUGCAUUAUUUGACGUUAGCGACAGAAGAAGCACCGGCUAACUCCGUGCCAGCAGCCGCGGUAAUACGGAGGGUGCGAGCGUUAAUCGGAAUUACUGGGCGUAAAGCGCAUGCAGGUGGUUUGUUAAGUCAGAUGUGAAAGCCCGGGGCUCAACCUCGGAAUAGCAUUUGAAACUGGCAGACUAGAGUACUGUAGAGGGGGGUAGAAUUUCAGGUGUAGCGGUGAAAUGCGUAGAGAUCUGAAGGAAUACCGGUGGCGAAGGCGGCCCCCUGGACAGAUACUGACACUCAGAUGCGAAAGCGUGGGGAGCAAACAGGAUUAGAUACCCUGGUAGUCCACGCCGUAAACGAUGUCUACUUGGAGGUUGUGGCCUUGAGCCGUGGCUUUCGGAGCUAACGCGUUAAGUAGACCGCCUGGGGAGUACGGUCGCAAGAUUAAAACUCAAAUGAAUUGACGGGGGCCCGCACAAGCGGUGGAGCAUGUGGUUUAAUUCGAUGCAACGCGAAGAACCUUACCUACUCUUGACAUCCAGAGAACUUUCCAGAGAUGGAUUGGUGCCUUCGGGAACUCUGAGACAGGUGCUGCAUGGCUGUCGUCAGCUCGUGUUGUGAAAUGUUGGGUUAAGUCCCGCAACGAGCGCAACCCUUAUCCUUGUUUGCCAGCGAGUAAUGUCGGGAACUCCAGGGAGACUGCCGGUGAUAAACCGGAGGAAGGUGGGGACGACGUCAAGUCAUCAUGGCCCUUACGAGUAGGGCUACACACGUGCUACAAUGGCGCAUACAGAGGGCGGCCAACUUGCGAAAGUGAGCGAAUCCCAAAAAGUGCGUCGUAGUCCGGAUUGGAGUCUGCAACUCGACUCCAUGAAGUCGGAAUCGCUAGUAAUCGUGGAUCAGAAUGCCACGGUGAAUACGUUCCCGGGCCUUGUACACACCGCCCGUCACACCAUGGGAGUGGGCUGCAAAAGAA
RNAcentral lists this ribosomal RNA (1385 nucleotides) under Vibrio sp. RNAcentral's name for it is "bacterial SSU rRNA". It matches the Rfam family "Bacterial small subunit ribosomal RNA", at positions 60 to 1425 of the family's 1533-position model. Lineage: Bacteria; Pseudomonadati; Pseudomonadota; Gammaproteobacteria; Vibrionales; Vibrionaceae. The record is from RNAcentral.